This is a long non-coding RNA of Symsagittifera roscoffensis, 247 nucleotides long. RefSeq lists it as uncharacterized. The record is from RefSeq and is a predicted model, not a curated record. The transcript is spliced from 3 exons. NCBI's taxonomy places the organism in Eukaryota, Metazoa, Xenacoelomorpha, Acoela, Convolutidae.
UUUGCUUUGAAGCCUGCUUCGCAUAAUUUAGAUUUAAUUUUCAAAAAAAUUUGAAAUUAUUGGCAGGAGAAUUGUUUCAGGGGUUUGAAAUUGCUGCUUGGGCCAUUGCUGCUUGCGCGUUAUAUUGCACUCUGAAGGCACGCUUACACUGAGGAUUGAAUCUUUCCUACAUAACGAGUUAUUGACUACGAAAUGUUCGCAGAAGAAUCUCCAAAGAAGCAUUCCGAGCAGAAAAAUCGGCCUCAAG